This is a long non-coding RNA of Alosa sapidissima (American shad), 400 nucleotides long. RefSeq lists it as uncharacterized. NCBI's taxonomy places the organism in Eukaryota, Metazoa, Chordata, Actinopteri, Clupeiformes, Clupeidae. The transcript is spliced from 3 exons. The record is from RefSeq and is a predicted model, not a curated record.
AAGGGCUGAAGCCAGUUGGAUCUAAAGUGCCAAGUUAUUCGUUAUCAGGUGUUCCUGGACAGUUUUGAAACCAAGAUGUCUGAACGCCUCAAAUAAUCAGCAGUAAAGACAACAGAGACAAAUUCUCUAAUACCAAGGUCAAUGCAUUUGACUGCUGUCCAGCCCCGGGUUGCCACCGAAAACUUUAUGCAUCUUGGACUGGAAGAUGGUGUGCUAGUAAGGAAGCUAGCUACCACAGCUUUUGCCACCACAUCUCAGUGUUGGGAGGGAAGUUCACUCACUGCACAACUCUACCAGCUGUACCUUUCCUCCUCAGCCAUGAUCCGUAACCACCAUGGUUUUCUUUCUGGGCCAGAAGACUUUGCAAACAAAUAAGCAAUAAAUGAUCAUGCAUUACAAA